GGGUUCNNAACCCUCGCCUGGNAAGGACUAGGGAUAACUCCUGUGAAAAACGGGGGCUAAUACCGGAUGGUUGUUUGAACCGCANGGUUCAAACAUAAAAGGUGGCUUCGGCUACCACUUACAGAUGGACCCGCGGCGCAUUAGCUAGUUGGUGAGGUAACGGCUCACCAAGGCAACGAUGCGUAGCCGACCUGAGAGGGUGAUCGGCCACACUGGGACUGAGACACGGCCCAGACUCCUACGGGAGGCAGCAGUAGGGAAUCUUCCGCAAUGGACGAAAGUCUGACGGAGCAACGCCGCGUGAGUGAUGAAGGUUUUCGGAUCGUANAGCUCUGUUGUUAGGGAAGAACAAGUACCGUUCGAAUAGGGCGGUACCUUGACGGUACCUAACCAGAAAGCCACGGCUAACUACGUGCCAGCAGCCGCGGUAAUACGUAGGUGGCAAGCGUUGUCCGGAAUUAUUGGGCGUAAAGGGCUCGCAGGCGGUUUCUUAAGUCUGAUGUGAAAGCCCCCGGCUCAACCGGGGAGGGUCAUUGGAAACUGGGGAACUUGAGUGCAGAAGAGGAGAGUGGAAUUCCACGUGUAGCGGUGAAAUGCGUAUAGAUGUGGAGGAACACCAGUGGCGAAGGCGACUCUCUGGUCUGUAACUGACGCUGAGGAGCGAAAGCGUGGGGAGCGAUCANGAUUAGAUACCCUGGUAGUUCACGCCGUAAACGAUUAGUGCUAAGUUGUUAGGGGGUUUCCGCCCCUUAUUGCUGCAGCUUACGAAUUAAGNACUNCGCCCUGUGAAGUAUGGU
RNAcentral lists this ribosomal RNA (797 nucleotides) under Bacillus subtilis. Its description in RNAcentral is "bacterial SSU rRNA". It matches the Rfam family "Bacterial small subunit ribosomal RNA", at positions 104 to 886 of the family's 1533-position model. Lineage: Bacteria; Bacillati; Bacillota; Bacilli; Caryophanales; Bacillaceae. The record is from RNAcentral.